This is a small nuclear RNA of Nycticebus coucang (slow loris), 108 nucleotides long. Lineage: Eukaryota; Metazoa; Chordata; Mammalia; Primates; Lorisidae. The record is from RefSeq and is a predicted model, not a curated record.
GUGCUUACUUCAGCAGCAUAUAUAAUAAAAUUGGAAAGAAACAGAGAAAAGUAUCAAGGCCUCUGCACAAAGGAUAACAUGAAAGUUUGUGAAGGAUUCCGUGUAGAU